ACAGGAGGAACUUCUUCAGUAGGAAUAGGAGGAGAGGCUUUGGUUUCAUGUAUGUUUCAAAGCUGAAAUGAUUGUCCUUCUUGUGUAAUUUUCACCAUGAUGGCAAGUCAGGGGACAGAAUCCAUGGCCUGCUGUCUGCUGUGGAUCUCAGGGAGAGGAACAACCUUCAGACAAGGGAAUGCAGUCUGUCCAGGCCAUCACUUCCGGGGCCAACUCUAAGAGUGCUAUUUGGAAUUUCAAAACAUGCACACAACACCAUGCCUACAUUGACAAUAUUUCACGGGACUGUAAACACUUUUGAUGCCAAGACUCUGUCCUAUUCCUCUCUACAUGCCCAGCAGCUGCACAGUCCCUGAACUACCUAACAAGGAUCUAGAAAAAUCUUGAGAAAGGAA
This 395-nucleotide long non-coding RNA is filed under the name Sus scrofa (pig). RNAcentral's name for it is "lncRNA (ENSSSCG00055012402.1)". The record is from RNAcentral. Lineage: Eukaryota; Metazoa; Chordata; Mammalia; Artiodactyla; Suidae.